AGUGAACGCUGGCGGUAGGCCUAACACAUGCAAGUCGAACGGCAGCACAGUAAGAGCUUGCUCUUACGGGUGGCGAGUGUCGGACGGGUGAGGAAUACAUCGGAAUCUACUUUUUCGUGGGGGAUAACGUAGGGAAACUUACGCUAAUACCGCAUACGACCUACGGGUGAAAGCAGGGGAUCUUCGGACCUUGCGCGAUUGAAUGAGCCGAUGUCGGAUUAGCUAGUUGGCGGGGUAAAGGCCCACCAAGGCGACGAUCCGUAGCUGGUCUGAGAGGAUGAUCAGACACACUGGAACUGAGACACGGUCCAGACUCCUACGGGAGGCAGCAGUGGGGAAUAUUGGACAAUGGGCGAAAGCCUGAUCCAGCCAUACCGCGUGGGUGAAGAAGGCCUUCGGGUUGUAAAGCCCUUUUGUUGGGAAAGAAAAGCAGCAGGUUAAUACCCCGCUGUUCUGACGGUACCCAAAGAAUAAGCACCGGCUAACUUCGUG
RNAcentral lists this ribosomal RNA (492 nucleotides) under uncultured bacterium. RNAcentral describes it as "partial 16S ribosomal RNA". It matches the Rfam family "Bacterial small subunit ribosomal RNA", at positions 29 to 507 of the family's 1533-position model. The record is from RNAcentral.